GGUCGGUCUUGUGAUGCUUAUGUUGUUUGCUAUCUAUUUUGCCUAAUAUGGUUCUUUAAUAAGUCAAGGGAGCCUUUUUCUCUCUCGGUUUUAGUAUAUAUAUAUAUAUAUUAUGGUCAAGAACGUUCGGUCAUAAACCAAGCGUUCGGUCAUAUAAGUGUUCGGUCUUAGACUGACACCUAAGUGAUGAAGCGUUCGGUUUAACAUUUGUAUUAUUC
RNAcentral lists this long non-coding RNA (218 nucleotides) under Vigna radiata. RNAcentral describes it as "long non-coding RNA (VRAD_LNC010562)". The record is from RNAcentral. Lineage: Eukaryota; Viridiplantae; Streptophyta; Magnoliopsida; Fabales; Fabaceae.